AUUGAACGCUGGCGGAAUGCUUUACACAUGCAAAUCGAACGGCAGCACGGACUUCGGUUUGGUGGCGAGUGGCGAACGGGUGAGUAAUGUAUCGGAACGUGCCCAGUCGUGGAGGAUAACGUAGUGAAAAUUACGCUAAUACCGCAUACGAUCUAUGGAUGAAAGCGGGGGAUCGCAAGACCUCGCGCGAUUGGAGCGGCCGAUAUCAGAUUAGGUAGUUGGUGGGGUAAAGGCCCACCAAGCCAACGAUCUGUAGCUGGUCUGAGAGGACGACCAGCCACACUGGAACUGAGACACGGGCCAGACUUCUACGGGAGGCAGCAGUGGGGAAUUUUGGACAAUGGGCGAAAGCCUGAUCCAGCCAUUCCGCGUGCAGGAUGAAGGCCCUCGGGUUGUAAACUGCUUUUGUACAGAACGAAAAGGUUUCUACUAAUACUAGGAGCUCAUGACGGUACUGUAAGAAUAAGCACCGGCUAACUACGUGCCAGCCGCCGCCGUAA
Molecule: ribosomal RNA, 500 nt
Filed under: uncultured bacterium
Lineage: Bacteria
Description: partial 16S ribosomal RNA
Rfam family: Bacterial small subunit ribosomal RNA
Source: RNAcentral